RNAcentral lists this ribosomal RNA (497 nucleotides) under uncultured bacterium. Its description in RNAcentral is "partial 16S ribosomal RNA". It matches the Rfam family "Bacterial small subunit ribosomal RNA", at positions 28 to 507 of the family's 1533-position model. The record is from RNAcentral.
GAUGAACGCUGGCGGCGUGCCUAACACAUGCAAGUCGAACGAACGGACGAUAAGCUUUCGUUUCUGCUGUUAGCGGCGGACGGGUGAGUAACGCGUGGAUCACCUACCUCUAUGACUGGGAUAACUACGGGAAACCGGAUCUAAUACCAGAUAAUAUUUCGAACCGGAGGGUUCAAAAGAGAUUGACGGUUUUGCGGUCACUUAUAGCCGGAUCCGCGCUGGAUUAGCUAGUUGGUAAGGUAACGCCCUACCAAGGCUACGAUGCGUAGCCGACCUGAGAGGGUGAUCGGCCACACUGGAACUGAGCCACGGUCCAGACUCCUACGGGAGGGAGCAGUGGGGAAUGUUCGGCAAUGGGCGAAAGCCUGACGGAGCCACGCCGCGUGUGUGAUGAAGGUCUUCGGGUCGUAAAGCCCUUUUAUUGGGAAAGAACAGCUGUGGAAGUAAAUGUAGCCAUUGUGACGGUACCUAAUCAGAAAGCACCGGCUAACUACGUG